GCCACUGUGUGCUCUUGAGGAUUAGUGAGAAUUCAAAUCGUGUGGGGAAGGGCAGGUGGGGAAGGAGCCCAGGUGAGGGCUAAGCCCGAAGCGGGUCACUGGUCACCACGGCGGCCAGCAGAGAGGAGGUCUGCGGAUGUGCGUGCCUGGGCUCAUAUGGAAACCGGAAGGAAAUCCACCAACCCCGGACUUCCGCGUUGCGGUAACUUAGGAGAGGGCUGGUGGUGCCGUGAGGAGGGACGCCAGUGAGGCCCACAUCGUGUGUCUGGCUGAGGUCGCUGCGCGAAGACCAUCCUGGGAGCCACUCCUGCGCGGAGAUGCCGCGCGGGGCCGUGCGGAGACGCUGAGACAAACCCCGAACUCAUACCUAGGGCGGCCCAGGAGGCCGCAGUGAGAGGAGGAUCCACUGAGAGCGCACCCUCCCGGGGAAAGACACGCACCCGCGCCGCCCCGCGCCUCCGCAUGCACCCUGGCUCCUGCUCAAGUUCCUACUUCAGCCUCAUAACUUGUCUCCCUGCUUCUACCCUGGACCUCCCACGCCUUGACACAGCCCCCCAAAGGAGCCAUUUAAGAGCAUAAAUUCCUUCUGUCCUCCACCAUUUUCAUCCUCCCUGGCUCUCCACUGCCCUCAAAGAGAAACAUUAAGCCUCUGCAGUGGCCUGCCAAGCCUGAGGCGGUCUGCGCCUCCUCCCCUGCCCUCCUCCCCAGCUCGCUUCUGCCCAGCCACACGCGGUCCUCCCUGCUGUCGGCCUUGACCUGCCCUGCACCCUCCUGCCUCAGGACCCAAACUAAGCACUGGUGGUCGCCAGCAGAGCCCGCAGCCCACCCCUUCACCUUCUCCCGACCUUACUUCAAAUGUCACCUUUCAACCAGGGCCCCCCAACUCCAAAGCUGCAGAACACGCCUGCCUGGGCGCCCCAGCCUGCCCCUAACUCCAACCUGACCUGGUUCCCAUCACCUGGGCCACUGCACAUGUCCCCUAAGCUGCUUUCCCUCUCCGUUGGAGUUUUUGUCUUCUGCUCUUGCUGGAAUACAAGCUCACUGAGAGCAGGGAUUUUGCUUUUUCACUGAGGAACCAAGUAUUUGGCUGGAGCAAGAGGCCAGGGGAUGAAGACUUGGUGAGUGAAGUGGAAAGGCCACGCGCACAGACAGGGUUGUGGCAAAAGAGGAGGAGCUGCGUCACUACCGUGAGCGAAGAUGGGAGGAGAGGCAGUUCGCAGAGCGCUGCACAGUGUGGAGAUCUGGCCAAGCCUUCCCACCUGGAGCCUCCGCACCCUGUGAGCUGUGCACUCACGCAGCAGGACAGGGAGCCGAGGGUGCUCCCAAGGCCCAGGGUCACCCAGGAAAAUGCCAUCCCGGAGCUGCUGGUCCCCUGCAUGUGCCACCUCGCCACCGCCACCGUGAAGGGACACAGGUGGCAGCUGUCAGCUGCUUCACCUUUGCCGGGAAUGUUUGUUGUUAAAUUUUUUCCUCCGGCUUCUCUGUUCACAUUUCACUGUAAAAUACAACACAAACACAGCAGUCCACACAAAACACAAGGAUGAGCUAGUAACUGUGACGCAGUGGACCUAUCAGUGUGGCUCCAUCAAGAAACAGAACUUUGAAGCUGCCCAGGGGACCCUAUGGGUGGUGUCACUCCCACACAGCACCCUGGUGUCCCCAGGUCCCCAUGUCUCGGCCACCCCAGGCAAGGAGCCUUGCCUCACCUUCAAGUCUGACAUCUGGAUGUGUCUUUAGAUGCUACUGAUUUGGUCCUAUCCUUUUUUUUUUUUUCCUCUUUUU
Molecule: long non-coding RNA, 1782 nt
Organism: Chinchilla lanigera (long-tailed chinchilla)
Lineage: Eukaryota; Metazoa; Chordata; Mammalia; Rodentia; Chinchillidae
Exons: 3
Source: RefSeq, a predicted model, not a curated record